GUCCACGCCCUAAACGAUGUCAACUGGUUGUUGGGUCUUAACUGACUCAGUAGCGAAGCUAACGCGUGAAGUUGACCGCCUGGGGAGUACGGCCGCAAGGUUGAAACUCAAAAGGAAUUGACGGGGACCCGCACAAGCGGUGGAUGAUGUGGUUUAAUUCGAUGCAACGCGAAAAACCUUACCCACCUUUGACAUGUACGGAAGCCUUUAGAGAUAGAGGCGUGCUCGAAAGAGAGCCGUAACACAGGUGCUGCAUGGCUGUCGU
RNAcentral lists this ribosomal RNA (265 nucleotides) under uncultured bacterium. Its description in RNAcentral is "partial 16S ribosomal RNA". It matches the Rfam family "Bacterial small subunit ribosomal RNA", at positions 793 to 1055 of the family's 1533-position model. The record is from RNAcentral.